This 29-nucleotide small RNA is filed under the name Bombyx mori (domestic silkworm). Its description in RNAcentral is "ovarian small RNA-26563". The record is from RNAcentral. Lineage: Eukaryota; Metazoa; Arthropoda; Insecta; Lepidoptera; Bombycidae.
UCCAAUAAACACAGCUGCCGUCUAGGCCU